Prunus mume (Japanese apricot) is the source of this 407-nucleotide long non-coding RNA. RefSeq lists it as uncharacterized. NCBI's taxonomy places the organism in Eukaryota, Viridiplantae, Streptophyta, Magnoliopsida, Rosales, Rosaceae. The record is from RefSeq and is a predicted model, not a curated record.
UUAGAGAGGUGGGUGGCUGAUAUGCAGGGCAAUAUCGAAAGCUUGAAACUAGAAAGUUACCGCAUCGGUCCAUCUUUGAAGUUGAAGGAGUAGUUGAGAGAUGGGACUGAUCUCAUGCUUUUUCAUCCGUCUUUUGACGCUGCUCAUAUUGAUCGUCUCUUCAUUCUUAGUCAUGCAAUCACCUCAUUACGUUCACGCCGAUCGGAACCCGAGAAAAUUAAGGAUCAUACCAAGCCCACCCCCUCCUCCGAGUUCACCCGCAGGACCACAUCAACAUGGCUAAUUUGGGACAUCCAUCUUACUAGUCUGAUUCAAUUAAUGAUUACGUAAAGUUUCUCUUCAGAUUAAAAAUAAAAUAUUACAUAAAAUAAUUGCUUGGAAUACAAUUUUUCACUUGUGUUACAUUA